Molecule: non-coding RNA, 720 nt
Organism: Plectropomus leopardus (leopard coralgrouper)
Lineage: Eukaryota; Metazoa; Chordata; Actinopteri; Perciformes; Serranidae
Source: RefSeq, a predicted model, not a curated record
GGACAACCCACUGUGACAUGAGCUUUGUUUCAGAGGAGGGAGGUCCGUUUCUGCGCUGUGGUGAAACAUCCAAAACUUCAUCUGUCGCAAGUUCCAGUUUCCAUGCAGCUUUUGUAAGUUUCGCCACGUGGGAAACUAUGUGACCACCAUGUUUGGUUUAGACAGCGGGAUUCAUUUUAGUUUGAGAGGACACCGAGACUUUGUGGUGAAAUGGCAAACCAUGAGCGAAACAAGAAGAUGUUACUGGAACUGCUGAAGCUGCCGACCAACAGCCGGUGCGCGGACUGCGGAGCGGCCGCAUGGGAAUAGUUUAUGGGACAUGGGGGGCUCUUCUGCACACCUCAGAUCCAGAGUGGGCAUCCUACAAGCUGGGUGUGUUUGUGUGUCUGACCUGCUCCGGCAUCCAUCGCAGCCUGUCCAGCCGCGUCAAAUCCAUAAAGCUGGACUUCUGGGAGGAUGAGCUGGUGGAGUUCAUGAAAUCCAGUGGCAAUUCCAGCGCCCAAGAUCUGUAUGAGAAAGCUGUUCCACCGUUCUACUAUCGACCCCAGGAAAAUGACUGUAUGUAAGUAAAUUUCCAGGAUGAUGACAUCCUUCAGAUAACUGUGCCAACUGCUGACGGUGCAAUGCCACAAUAAAUAGAGAGAAGUGCAACUACUGACUACUGACUGACCUGGUAAAAAAAAAAAGGCAAUAAACAAUCGGGCUAGAAAUGUGCUAUAA